AAGGAAGGAAGCCACCUUUGUUCUGAGUUCCCAGGCUAGGGGUCACCUAGGAGCUGCAGCUGCCGGCCUACACCAUAGUCACAGCAAUGCUAGAUGCGAGCCACAUCUGCGACCUACACCACAGCUUACGGAAAUGCCAGAUCCUUAACCUACUGAGCAGGGCUAGGGAUUGAACUUGCAUCCUCAUGGAUACUAGUCAGGUUCAUUACUGCUGAGCCACAACAGGAACUCUUUGUUUUUCUUUUUAAAUUAAAGAAUUUUACACAAUUUUUAAAAGUUACUUUCCAUUUGCAGUUAUUACAAAAUGCUGACUCUGUUCCUCGUGUUGUACCCUAUACACCUUGAACCUCUUUCACACCCAGUAGUUUGGACCCUCCUGCCCCUCCCCCUCCCCAGGUAACCACUAGUUCUCUAUAUCUGGGAAUCUGCCUCUUUUUCUUUUUUUUUGGAUGUUACUGGGAUGGGGUAUAGUUGAUUCACAAUGUUGUGUUUUAGGUGUACAGCAAAGUGAAUCAGUUAUAUAUGUGUUCCUUUCUCAGAUUCUUUUCCCUUACAGGUCAUUACAAAAUAUUGAGUAGAUUUCCCUGUGUUGUACAAUAGUUCCUUGAGAAUCUGCUUCUUUUUUGUUACAUUCACUUGUUCAUUUUCCUUGAUGUCCUUUCUCAAUUCCUUCAGCACAUUUGAUUUCAUGGGUAGAACAAAACCAGGGGAGAGUGAAGCACAUGGUCAGAGGUGACUUUCUCCAGACUUUAAUUUUCCUGCAAAAGGAAACUUUGUCUUUUUCCAGCUCCCUGUCUAGGUGAAGAGCUGUGUGAUUAUCCACAUCUUCCACCAGCAGUCUUGCAAGAUGGUCACAUUUGCCAGGGAAUUAUUUUAUAGAUGAAAAAAUUUGAGUUGGCUUUUAGUUUCAGAGUAAAAUAAUUGCUAGUUAAAUGACUUACAUUAGUGGAUCAGACCCAGUUAAUGUAAGCGUGUGCCUCUCUUAAAAUAAAAGUUGAAAAAUUGAAUUUGUUCCUUGGUAAUUUGAUUUGUAGGAAGUGCGGAACAAAGGAUUCCAAACAGGGCUUUUAAAAUCAGCACUAAUUAAUUGCGUGUGCAGAUGCACCAGGGAAGAUUUGGAGGCAAUUAGUCUCAUUAUGUUUAAAAUACAGUUGCGCGCCUAAAUAGAUCACCACACCCGCAGGCCUGCCUAUCUUUUUCUACUUUCUCCUUUAGGCAUGUAGUGAAUUUUUUGGCCAUUAAGCAUGACCUCGUCAGAGUCUGUGGAGCAGAACAGAGUGACAGACUGUAGAGGAGUGGCAUUGCACACCUCCAGCUCGGCAGUAAGGCUGUUCAGCAGCCUAGAUGGGGACACUAAGAUGUGCUGGGGACAACUUAGGUUCUCUACCCACCCCCCCUUGCCUUUUUUUUUUUUUUUGGAAGUCUGCGCUCUCGCUGAAAUAUUUUUCUCUUGCUCUGACUUGGAGUAAACUGUAACUGAGUCUUGUUUCUGAACAUGAUGAAGUGAUUUGAGUUUGAGAGUAAAAGUUGAGUAAGUAGCACCUUGCCUAAUAAUAUACCCUUAGCAUGGAAGACUUAGCUGCUGGCCAGCUGAAGGGGAGGGUCAGGUGGGAGGGGCCAGGUGGGGAGGCAGAUGGAGGGAGCCAAGUGGGGGGCCAAGUAAAGGCCAGGUGGGAGGAGGUAGGGGUAGAUGGGCUUCUGGAGUCGUUUUAUACCUGCCAGGUCUUCAACUGUUGCUGCUACAGUGGAUGUGACAGUCCUUCAAAACCAUGUUUUUCUUUUUGACUUAAGUACAGGAGACUGAACCAGAGACAUUUUUUCUGUCUUUUCAUUAAAAAGUAAAGGGAACCACUUUUCUCUUCUGUAGAUUCAGUUUUAUGGGAAGAACUGUUGAAGGUGGUCUUCUGCAACUAUUCCCCUAUUGCCCUUCCUUUGGUUUCUGGUAGCACUAAAAGUGAUUUAUAAAUUACAUUUUCAGUUUAUAGGCUGUCCUGCCGUUACAAGACUACCGUCUUUAUUCCCUACCUACCACAGCGAUUUUGCUUUUCCCUGCAGCUGCAUUGGCUGUAUUUCUGAUCAUAUUAUUUGCAGCAGAAACUGAGGUUUUCUGUCAUUGCUGUCUUAAUAGCUGGAUUGUGUGGUUUUCUCCAAGUAGGUUUUCUCCUACAAAGACGGAUCUUGAGGACCCAUGGCGGUGGCAUUUUGGUUUUUGAUUUUGGUAGUUCUGGUGUAAGAACAAAGCUUACUUCAUCUGUGGAUUUAGGUAGCAGUGGACAAAUUUAGAUGAAGAUUUGAAACACAGACAUUUGAGUAGAUAGGUCACUGGGCAAUGAGGCUUGUUCACGGUUUGCCUGUGGACACAGGCUUAACUCUGAGUAGCUGUUCAGAGAUGACAGUUCAGUUUUCCUUCUUGGAGGUUGCUUUGCCAAAGAGUUGGUGUUUGAGAAGUUUAUUCUUUAAUCUUUGAAAUAAAGCAACUCUUUUUUUUUUUUUUUUUCCUUUUUAGGGUUGCACCCUCAGCAUAUGGAAGUUCUCAGGCUAGGGGUCAGAUCGGAGCUACAGUUGCAGGCCUACACCACAGCCACAGCAGCACUGGAUCUGAGCCAUGUCUUUGACCUGUGCUGCAGCUUGCUGCAAUGCAGGAUCCUUAACCCACUGAGCAAGGCUGGGGAUUGAACCCACAUCCUCAUGAAGACAAGUCAGGUCCUUAACCCACUAAGCCACAACAGUAACUCCAAAACCACUCAUCUAAUCAUGGUAAACAUACCCAGAUUCUUUUAAGGUCGAGUCAAAUUUUGGAAUUUGGUUUGUAAUAUGGCAGAAGAUAAAUAUGUUCUUUUAAACAGAUGUCAGUGCCCGUCAUGCUGUUAUUAUGCCAGAAUAUAUGCUCAUAGAACAUGGAUGUGUUUGGUGUACUUACCUCCAUGUGUUGGGUGACCUCUGUACAUGACCUGGAUUUUGCAUAACCUUUACCAAAAAUGGCAUAACUCACACUUUUGCUUUGUUAUGAAUUUGGUGCAUUUUUUUUUUCAUGCAAAGUCUUAUAUAUUAUACUCUUUUCUUUUCUUUGGUUUUUAGGGCCACACCUGUGGCAUAUGGAGGUUCCCAGGGGUCGAAUCGGAGCUACAGCUGUCAGCCUACACCACAGCCACAGCAACAUGGGCUCUGAGCCAUGUCUGCAAUCUACACAGCACCUCACGGCAACACUGGAUCCUUAACCCACUGAGUGAGGUCAGAGAUUGAACCCACAUCCUCAUGGAUACUAGUUGGGCUCUUUAACCACUGAGCCAUGACAGGAACUCCAAUCCUCUUUGUUUCUUAUUAUCAAAAUCUUAAAUAAUAGCACAAUUUAAAAAUAUUGAAAGAAUGAACAGGUUAUAACAACAGAACUGAAAACCACUGCUUAAGUCUAGAAACAUUGGGGUUGCCAUUGUGUCGUGGUUAAAUUUGUGCAACUUAAAAAAAAUAUUCUGUCCUGUGUAUUAUUUUAUUAGCCUCCACAUAGUAUAUUUUAAAUAUUAUCUUAAAUAUUACCAUAUGCAUGUUGGUUAGUUAGGACACAAUUUUGUGUGUCUUUCCCCUUUAAGAAUUCUUGUUAUAGUUAGAUGAAUUUCAAUGAUUAACUUAUGGUCUGGGAGAAUUUAGAUUGAUUGACAUUCUGGCAUUGGUAGUAUAGUGCAUUCUUGAGUCCACACAAAAAAAAGAUGUAUUGUGAAACCCCAGAAUUGGGUAGAAAGAGAUCGUCUGUGUAGUGGCUUUAAAAAAAAAAAAAAAAAAAAA
This 3780-nucleotide long non-coding RNA is filed under the name Sus scrofa (pig). Its description in RNAcentral is "lncRNA (ENSSSCG00055003419.1)". Lineage: Eukaryota; Metazoa; Chordata; Mammalia; Artiodactyla; Suidae. The record is from RNAcentral.